UGUCCCUGUAGCGCAAUGGAUAGCUCGUUGGGCUUCUAAUCCAAAAGUUGUGGGUUCGAUUCCCACAGGGAUAG
Molecule: transfer RNA, 74 nt
Filed under: Trichonephila clavata
Lineage: Eukaryota; Metazoa; Arthropoda; Arachnida; Araneae; Nephilidae
Description: tRNA-Arg
Rfam family: tRNA
About the family: Transfer RNA (tRNA) molecules are approximately 80 nucleotides in length. Their secondary structure includes four short double-helical elements and three loops (D, anti-codon, and T loops). Further hydrogen bonds mediate the characteristic L-shaped molecular structure. tRNAs have two regions of fundamental functional importance: the anti-codon, which is responsible for specific mRNA codon recognition, and the 3' end, to which the tRNAs corresponding amino acid is attached (by aminoacyl-tRNA synthetases). tRNAs cope with the degeneracy of the genetic code in two manners: having more than one tRNA (with a specific anti-codon) for a particular amino acid; and 'wobble' base-pairing, i.e. permitting non-standard base-pairing at the 3rd anti-codon position.
Source: RNAcentral